RNAcentral lists this ribosomal RNA (230 nucleotides) under uncultured bacterium. RNAcentral describes it as "partial 16S ribosomal RNA". It matches the Rfam family "Bacterial small subunit ribosomal RNA", at positions 118 to 347 of the family's 1533-position model. The record is from RNAcentral.
UGGGCAACCUGCCCUCAGCUCUGGGAUAACUCCGGGAAACCGGGGCUAAUACCGGAUACGACCUUCCCUCGCAUGGGGGUUGGUGGAAAGUUCUUCGGCUGAGGAUGGGCCCGCGGCCUAUCAGCUUGUUGGUGGGGUGAUGGCCUACCAAGGCGACGACGGGGUAGCCGGCCUGAGAGGGCGACCGGCCACACUGGGACUGAGACACGGCCCAGACUCCUACGGGAGCA